AUCCCAUUUCAACAUUUUAGUUGUUCUAAUGUUUUAUUGCAAUUCAACUGAACAAGCUCGUGGUCAUGUUGUUCGUAUAAAUUAAAAAAUUAAGUUAAACACUUCUCAACUAAACAAAAAUUCUCAAAUUGAAAUGUUGUGUUCAGUUGAUUUAACAAUUUAAGUUCAAUCAUCUUUUGGCCCUUCCAACAUGUAACCACCAGAUGGCGGUAAGAGUGCAAGUGUUCGCUUUUUUUUCAGAAGAAGUAGAAGAAGAAGCUACAGUUGGGGUUGCAGAGAGCAGAUGGAGUUUCAACUUCGCGGCUUUUUCAAAUUUACGUUGAUGGGUCGUUAUUUAGCUGAAGAGGUGGCACUUUUUUGACAAAAUAAAGGAUAUUUUGGACGAAGAAAAGACAAGCCACCACAUCUUGAUUCACCUGCAGCGUGUCGCGGAGGAGAAAUACAUCCAUUCACAUGGGUUGACGUAGAAUUUGCUGGUCUGACAUCUGUUAAUCUCAAGACUGCUUUCUUCAAUGGGCUGGAUCAGUAUCCACCAGGGCUACUAGACCUGUACGAGGCCACGGCUGGGACGCUAGCUGGACCGAGCAAGCUGUUCUGAACAACCCUCAACUCAAAGAAAGAUGGAAAUUGUUCUGCUGGGCCUUCCCCACUUAAGGAGGACCCCUCAUGGCAUUCCAAAACUGCUGAGGUAAGCUUAAUUUGACCACAUUGUUAACAAUGCAGUUGUAAUGAUAUGUUAAAGUUGGUUGUAAGAUUAUUAAACUGGAAAAAUUCACACAUCAACACAGUCCAGUAAGUAAUUGGUUAAAUCUGGGUAAUUUAAAUGAUCACAUCCAUAAAUUUUAAAAAAAACAAAUUUUAGACCACACAAACAGAGGCAGCAACUCACCACUGCUCUUCCAGCAAAGCAGAAAUUUGCUGUGCGACUGCAAAAGAAGA
Long non-coding RNA from Oryzias melastigma (Indian medaka), 939 nucleotides. RefSeq lists it as uncharacterized. Lineage: Eukaryota; Metazoa; Chordata; Actinopteri; Beloniformes; Adrianichthyidae. The transcript is spliced from 4 exons. The record is from RefSeq and is a predicted model, not a curated record.